CUGGGGCUGUGAAGAGGAGGCCUGCCCUAGCCUCUCGCCCGUGUCUUCUCUUCCCACACCCCUGUCCUCGGGGUGAAAGGACACAGCGGGAAAACCACCUGAAACCAACAGACACACAAGUGAGACUCAACAACAGACGCCUGCCUCGAAUACACAUUCUUGACGUUAGAGACAGAUGCAGCGGGCGGGGAAAGCCCGGGCUCCUAACUUUGUAUGUGUUGCCUGUCGGGUUAAGGUUAGGAGGGUUAAGAGCAGUUUAACUUACCUGGUGAUCCUGGAGUUAAUGCUGGCGACAAACCCGACGACCGCUACAUCCUUGCUGAGGGCGUCUCUACAGAUGUCGAUGCCCACGACCAUCAGUGACUUCAACUGUUAAAUCAAGUUAACUGUGGUUAAAUGAAAUAAACAUUUUAGUACCUCUCC
This 423-nucleotide long non-coding RNA is filed under the name Rattus norvegicus (Norway rat). Its description in RNAcentral is "long non-coding RNA NONRATT027431". Lineage: Eukaryota; Metazoa; Chordata; Mammalia; Rodentia; Muridae. The record is from RNAcentral.